This 234-nucleotide ribosomal RNA is filed under the name Salmonella enterica. Its description in RNAcentral is "partial 23S ribosomal RNA". It matches the Rfam family "Bacterial large subunit ribosomal RNA", at positions 323 to 559 of the family's 2925-position model. RNAcentral also lists the same sequence under 2 other names. Lineage: Bacteria; Pseudomonadati; Pseudomonadota; Gammaproteobacteria; Enterobacterales; Enterobacteriaceae. The record is from RNAcentral.
UGUGUGUUAGUGGAAGCGUCUGGAAAGGCGCGCGAUACAGGGUGACAGCCCCGUACACAAAAGCGCAUGUGCUGUGAGCUCGAUGAGUAGGGCGGGACACGUGGUAUCCUGUCUGAAUAUGGGGGGACCAUCCUCCAAGGCUAAAUACUCCUGACUGACCGAUAGUGAACCAGUACCGUGAGGGAAAGGCGAAAAGAACCCCGGCGAGGGGAGUGAAAAAGAACCUGAAACCGU